GAAGAGAUGGCGAUUUUCUUCUGAGAGCUUUAUUUGUGAACCCUCUUGCAGUGUCACACUGAGUCCCCGCCAGGGCCUCCCGAGGAUCCCACUAAGGGGCAUCUUCCAGGGAGCGAAGGUGGUGCGAGGCCCCGACUGGGAGUGGGGCUCACAGGAUGGUGAGUGGAGGCAGAGGGGCGGGGUCAGGGCUGGGCUGUGGCUGGCUCAUGGCUCAGCCUUAGCCUGCUGGCGGGGACUCUUUCCCCAGGAGGGGAAGGGAAACCGGGCCGUGUGGUGGACAUCCGUGGCUGGGAUGUGGAGACAGGCCGGAGUGUGGCCAGCGUGACGUGGGCUGAUGGUACCACCAAUGUGUACCGUGUGGGCCACAAGGGCAAGGUGGACCUCAAGUGUGUGGGCGAGGCAGCGGGCGGCUUCUACUACAAGGACCACCUCCCAAGGCUCGGCAAGCCGGCGGAGCUGCAGCGCAGGGUGAGUGCUGACAGCCAGCCCUUCCAGCACGGGGACAAGGUCAAGUGUCUGCUGGACACUGAUGUCCUGCGGGAGAUGCAGGAAGGCCACGGCGGCUGGAACCCCAGGAUGGCGGAGUUUAUCGGACAGACGGGCACCGUGCAUCGUAUCACGGACCGCGGGGAUGUGCGCGUGCAGUUCAACCACGAGACGCGCUGGACCUUCCACCCCGGGGCGCUCACCAAGGUGCCGGGGGGGCUGGGCUGCGCCUCAUCUGCUUGCUUCUGUAACCCCUUCCACGUACCCCCUUGGCCUUGGGGGGUCAGGCAGGACUAGGGUGCCAGCUGCACCCACGAGUCCCCAGCCCUGAAGGAAGGGGAGGGACUGGUGGG
This 839-nucleotide small RNA is filed under the name Pan troglodytes (chimpanzee). Its description in RNAcentral is "retained intron". The record is from RNAcentral. Lineage: Eukaryota; Metazoa; Chordata; Mammalia; Primates; Hominidae.